This 496-nucleotide ribosomal RNA is filed under the name uncultured bacterium. RNAcentral describes it as "partial 16S ribosomal RNA". It matches the Rfam family "Bacterial small subunit ribosomal RNA", at positions 28 to 506 of the family's 1533-position model. The record is from RNAcentral.
GAUGAACGCUGGCGGCGUGCCUAAUACAUGCAAGUCGAGCGAACAGACGAGGAGCUUGCUCCUCUGACGUUAGCGGCGGACGGGUGAGUAACACGUGGAUAACCUACCUAUAAGACUGGGAUAACUUCGGGAAACCGGAGCUAAUACCGGAUAAUAUAUUGAACCGCAUGGUUCAAUAGUGAAAGACGGUUUUGCUGUCACUUAUAGAUGGAUCCGCGCCGCAUUAGCUAGUUGGUAAGGUAACGGCUUACCAAGGCAACGAUGCGUAGCCGACCUGAGAGGGUGAUCGGCCACACUGGAACUGAGACACGGUCCAGACUCCUACGGGAGGCAGCAGUAGGGAAUCUUCCGCAAUGGGCGAAAGCCUGACGGAGCAACGCCGCGUGAGUGAUGAAGGUCUUCGGAUCCUAAAACUCUGUUAUUAGGGAAGAACAAAUGUGUAAGUAACUAUGCACGUCUUGACGGUACCUAAGCAGAAAGCCACGGCUAACUACGU